GAUGAACGCUGGCGGCGUGCCUAAUACAUGCAAGUCGAGCGAACGGACGAGAAGCUUGCUUCUCUGAUGUUAGCGGCGGACGGGUGAGUAACACGUGGAUAACCUACCUAUAAGACUGGGAUAACUUCGGGAAACCGGAGCUAAUACCGGAUAAUAUUUUGAACCGCAUGGUUCAAAAGUGAAAGACGGUCUUGCUGUCACUUAUAGAUGGAUCCGCGCUGCAUUAGCUAGUUGGUAAGGUAACGGCUUACCAAGGCAACGAUGCAUAGCCGACCUGAGAGGGUGAUCGGCCACACUGGAACUGAGACACGGUCCAGACUCCUACGGGAGGCAGCAGUAGGGAAUCUUCCGCAAUGGGCGAAAGCCUGACGGAGCAACGCCGCGUGAAUGAUGAAGGUCUUCGGAUCGUAAACCUCUGUUAUUAGGGAAGAACAUAUGUGUAAGUAACUGUGCACAUCUUGACGGUACCUAAUCAGAAAGCCACGGCUAACUACGUG
Molecule: ribosomal RNA, 497 nt
Filed under: uncultured bacterium
Lineage: Bacteria
Description: partial 16S ribosomal RNA
Rfam family: Bacterial small subunit ribosomal RNA
Source: RNAcentral